AUUUGAUUUCAUCCAACUUACAGGUUUUACAGGUGAACAACAAUUAGCAACUCCCGAUCGAAUUGCACACAACAACCACCCACAAUCACAGCUGUAAAAGUAACACGGAUAGGUAGCAAGGAAAUCAAGCUUGUACACAGAAAUCUACACAAAAACUGGGUUUUAUAAGCGCACGAAAAGCGACGCGGCUAUCUUUGAAUAAAAAGUAAACAAAAGAGUUUCGUUUUAAUUUAAUUUUGAUAGCGGGUGUGGUGAUGGCUUGAGCGAUUUGGAACAAUCAUUCUCCGGACAGGAUUCGAUCCGAUCCGUGACGUCACUGAGCGCCGGUUCAUUUAAAGCUUCUUCUCUGAGUUCUGCUUAUGCCAACAAGCAAAGUUGAAGCAGAGAAGAAGCUGUGGCGGUUCCCUACUAGCAAUGAGAAUGAAAAAGUGUGCAACUUUCAGGCGAGGGGCAUGUAGAAGCAUGGGGAGACGGUUGGAAAUACGCAGAAUUACGCGGAGGCGCGAGCGUAUUUUGGUUUCUACACAGUUUUUGCACUCACACAAUUACACAUGUGUGAAUGUGUGCGUUCACUUUCAGCCUGCGCGCUCAGUUUGGUUUUCUCGCAGCGGCAUGCGGGUAUCGGUGUCUCGCUCGCACUAGUGCAGCGAGUGUUUUCUGUGCGCUCCCCUUCUUGCCACCACACGAAAUCGUCAGUUCAGCUCAAGCGUUCGCCGUGAAAGGCUGCGCGCGUGUUAGCCUAAGUCCCGGGCGAUCGAAGUUUCGCUAAGUGUUGAAGUGUUGUGCACAUUGAAAUGAAGCUGCACUUUUCUUUCACCAUUAGUAUCUUAAAUGUGUGAUUUGCGCUGCUUUAUUUCAAUGUUUAUUUUUGCUGUAUCGAACAUCAACAACGGUAUCCACGCAGUUAGACGGCUCUUUGAAAUACGACGAUUUUUUUAUAUUAAGAAUUUGUGUGAUUUUGUGGCAAGAUUGUGUGAAGCAAUGUAUUAAAAUGUGCUUUUAUUUGCAAUAAAAGUGAUAAAAUGUAAACCAAGUUUGAUGUGUUAAAGUUUUUGUUUUGAUUCGGGUGCACCAAGUCCGAAUGAAGGAAAGCGCACAGCGCGCUACGAAAGAAACGAGCGGGAGGGGGUGUCAGUCCAGCGCAGCGCAAUUCGCUGGAAUCAAGUGGGAGGGGGUACCAGUUCAGCGCAGCGCGCUACGAAAGAAACAGGGAGGAAGGGGUAUGAUGAAACAGCGCGAGCGAGCGUUCUUUACAGCGAGAGCGCCUCGUGUAUUUUAAAGGCAAGCAAGAGAGCGCAUUCUCUCCGUGGUAGCGCUCCAUCCGCCAUUUUUAAUUCUCAGCCCAAAACAACGGACUUCGGAUCCGUGCUUGGGCCGGACCCCCACCGCGUGUUUCUACCUACCCCUCGCCUGAAAAUUUCGUUCUCUUUGUCUGUCGGGUUUCCAUACAAACUCUCUCUGAGAUUGUUGAAAGGGAUCGCAGCGAGCAGAUCAAACUGAGCGAGCUGGCCGAAAAUGAACGCACACAUUUCCACAUGUGUUGCUGUGUUAGUGUCAAAAAUGUGUAUAAACCAAAACGCGCUCUCGCAUCUUUGUAUUUUACACCGUUACACACACCAUGAUAAAAUAUCCCGCUACGUAUGGUACAGUAUCGGACAAAAAGAUAGGGCAUUUUUUUCAUCGCACCGUGCACUUGUUUUACCACGUUACUUGUGUGUGUGUGUGUGUGUGUGUGUGUGUGUGUGUGUGUGUGUGUGUGUGUGUGUGUGUGUGUGUGUGUGUGUGUGUGUGUGUGUGUGUGUGUGUGUGUGUGUGUGUGUGUGUGUGUGUGUGUGUGUGUGUGUGUGUGUGUGUGUGUGUGUGUGUGUGUGUGUGUGUGUGUAUGUAUGUGUGUAAGAAAGAGAGUGUGUUUGUUAAUGUGUAUGUGCGUGUAUGUGCGAGUGCGCGGGUGUGUGUCUGAAGAAACAUAGCUUGACCUGAUGUGAUAUUGCGUCAAAGGUAUUCUGAUAAUGUGUGUUAUCAUGUGAAACAGCGUGCGUUCACACUUGGAUAAAAGCUAAGGUUUGCAUGGACAGCAGCGCUUGUUCAGACGAGAACGCAGGUGUGCUGUUUCAUGAAUGUGAAUGCGAAAGCGGUGCGAAAUGGAAACGCGAACAAUUGCAAUGAGAUCGGCAUUCCCUCACAGGUGUUUCUCCAGUGCACGCCAUUGAAAGGCCUGCGUGCAUCUCUGCGUUGAACCUCGUGUGUGCAUGGGAAACUUUGAGUGUGCAUUGAGCAAGCGCGCUGGUGUUCUUUUCAAUGGGCGUUUUGUGUCAUGAGCGCGGCAGUAUUCUGUUCUCGACUUGAAUUGGUAGACGCUCGCUCGCUUACUCAUUGAUAGUUUUAAUCCAUACGCUUUUUUCGCUGCUCGACAAUGAUGUGAUUCAUCGCGUAUAAAAGUAGAACGCAGGCAGUGCACUGCAUCAGCCCUGGCCAAGUUUUUAACCAGUGCGUUCUUGACGGUCCAAGCAAGGAAUUUUAGCAACAAUGGGUCGAGGUAAACAUUGUACCGAUUAUCAGCGCCAUAUCAUAAAGCGAAUGGCGGUUGCUGGCAUUAAGCGCAGAACGAUCGAGUUCGUGAUGGAACGAUCACACACUUUUGUGGCAAACGCGCUUCGGACAACCGAAGUGCGCAAGUCAACCGGACGUCCUAGGAAGACCACGGUUGAGGAAGACCGUAAGAUUGUUAAUAUAUCAAAGAAACACUGUUCGCGAGGGCGGUGGUGCUGCUAAUUAAAACAAAAACCUAACCCAAAAAACAAAAAAAACUACAAACAAAUCUAUCCGAAAUGACACACACACACACACACACACACACACACACACACACACACACACACACACACACACACACACACACACACACACACACACACACACAAAAA
Long non-coding RNA from Anopheles coluzzii, 2924 nucleotides. RefSeq lists it as uncharacterized. NCBI's taxonomy places the organism in Eukaryota, Metazoa, Arthropoda, Insecta, Diptera, Culicidae. The transcript has 2 exons. The record is from RefSeq and is a predicted model, not a curated record.